AUACGUAGGGGGCGAGCGUUGUCCGGAAUGAUUGGGCGUAAAGGGCGCGUAGGCGGCCCGGUAAGUCUGGAGUGAAAGUCCUGUUUUUAAGAUGGGAAUUGCUUUGGAUACUGUCGGGCUUGAGUGCAGGAGAGGUAAGUGGAAUUCCCAGUGUAGCGGUGAAAUGGGUAGAGAUUGGGAGGAACACCAGUGGCGAAGGCGGCUUACUGGACUGUAACUGACGCUGAGGCGCGAAAGUGUGGGGAGCAAACAGGAUUAGAUACCCUGGUAGUCCACGCUGUAAACGAUGAAUGCUAGGUGUAGGGGGUAUCGACCCCUUCUGUGCCGCAGUCAACACAAUAAGCAUUCCGCCUGGUGAGUACGGCCGCAAGGUUGAAACUCAAAUGAAUUGACGGGG
RNAcentral lists this ribosomal RNA (397 nucleotides) under uncultured bacterium. RNAcentral's name for it is "partial 16S ribosomal RNA". It matches the Rfam family "Bacterial small subunit ribosomal RNA", at positions 523 to 918 of the family's 1533-position model. The record is from RNAcentral.